CCGGUCUUCUCAGUUUUAUUAUUUAUUCAUCCGUCGCGAGUGGCAAGCGUUUGAACACCGCUAAAAAACGUCGCAACCCGAAAAACGUCGCAACCCGCUGAAGUGCUACUGAUUCCAACGAAGGAACGGAUACUAUUUAUUUAAAUCAUCCGGACCACUGGCUGACAAAGGAACCGUUGAGGACAAGGCGGCUCACCCAAAGAGGCCUUCAGCAACCGGAUAGGAGCAAUGGAUAUUCAUAUAACGGCACUGUGGAAGCCGAGAAACAGGUUCAAAAUGCCGGGAAAUCGUUGAACCAAAUAGUUCAUCGACGAAGAAGCAGAUUAUGUGGCCAAAUUAUCAACGUGCAAACGUAAACACAAGUUCAAAAUGAAAUAGAAAUAAACAUAUUUUCCAUGAUGUAAAAACUA
Armigeres subalbatus is the source of this 410-nucleotide long non-coding RNA. RefSeq lists it as uncharacterized. NCBI's taxonomy places the organism in Eukaryota, Metazoa, Arthropoda, Insecta, Diptera, Culicidae. The record is from RefSeq and is a predicted model, not a curated record. The transcript is spliced from 3 exons.